UACGUAGGGUGCAAGCGUUGUCCGGAAUUAUUGGGCGUAAAGGGCUCGUAGGCGGCCCAUCGCGUCGGGAGUGAAAAGCUGGGGCUCAACCCCAGUCCUGCUUCCGAUACGGGUGGACUAGAGGUAUGCAGGGGAGAACGGAAUUCCUGGUGUAGCGGUGAAAUGCGCAGAUAUCAGGAGGAACACCGGUGGCGAAGGCGGUUCUCUGGGCAUUACCUGACGCUGAGGAGCGAAAGCGUGGGGAGCGAACAGG
This 253-nucleotide ribosomal RNA is filed under the name uncultured bacterium. Its description in RNAcentral is "partial 16S ribosomal RNA". It matches the Rfam family "Bacterial small subunit ribosomal RNA", at positions 524 to 776 of the family's 1533-position model. The record is from RNAcentral.